UACAGGGGGUGCAAACGUUGCUCGGAAUUAUUGGGCGUAAAGCGCGCGUAGGCGGCCGCUUAAGUCGGAUGUGAAAGCCCCUGGCUCAACUGGGGAAGUGCACCCGAAACUGAGUGGCUUGAGUACUAAAGAGGGUCGCGGAAUUCCCGGUGUAGAGGUGAAAUUCGUAGAUAUCGGGAGGAACACCGGUGGCGAAGGCGGCGACCUGGGUAGAUACUGACGCUGAGGCGCGAAAGCGUGGGUAGCAAACAGG
RNAcentral lists this ribosomal RNA (253 nucleotides) under uncultured bacterium. Its description in RNAcentral is "partial 16S ribosomal RNA". It matches the Rfam family "Bacterial small subunit ribosomal RNA", at positions 524 to 776 of the family's 1533-position model. The record is from RNAcentral.